AGAGUUUGAUCCUGGCUCAGGACGAACGCUGGCGGCGUGCCUAAUACAUGCAAGUAGAACGCUGAAGAGAGGAGCUCGCUCUUCUUGGAUGAGUUGCGAACGGGUGAGUAACGCGUAGGUAACCUGCCUUGUAGCGGGGGAUAACUAUUGGAAACGAUAGCUAAUACCGCAUAACAAUGGAUGACACAUGUCAUUUAUUUGAAAGGGGCAAUUGUUCCACUACAAGAUGGACCUGCGUUGUAUUAGCUAGUAGGUGAGGUAAUGGCUCACCUAGGCGACGAUACAUAGCCGACCUGAGAGGGUGAUCGGCCACACUGGGACUGAGACACGGCCCAGACUCCUACGGGAGGCAGCAGUAGGGAAUCUUCGGCAAUAGGGGCAACCCUGACCGAGCAACGCCGCGUGAGUGAAGAAGGUUUUCGGAUCGUAAAGCUCUGUUGUAAGUCAAGAACGGGUGUGAGAGUGGAAAGUUCACACUGUGACGGUAGCUACCAGAAAGGGACGGCUAACUACGUGCCAGCAGCCGCGGUAAUACGUAGGUCCCGAGCGUUGUCCGGAUCUAUUGGGCGUAAAGCGAGCGCAGGCGGUUUGAUAAGUCUGAAGCUAAAGGCUGUGGCUCAACCAUAGUUCGCUUUGGAAACUGUCAAACUUGAGUGCAGAAGGGGAGAGUGGAAUUCCAUGUGUAGCGGUGAAAUGCGUAGAUAUAUGGAGGAACACCGGUGGCGAAAGCGGCUCUCUGGUCUGUAACUGACGCUGAGGCUCGAAAGCGUGGGGAGCGAACAGGAUUAGAUACCCUGGUAGUCCACGCCGUAAACGAUGAGUGCUAGGUGUUGGAUCCUUUCCGGGAUUUAGUGCCGCAGCUAACGCAUUAAGCACUCCGCCUGGGGAGUACGACCGCAAGGUUGAAACUCAAAGGAAUUGACGGGGGCCCGCACAAGCGGUGGAGCAUGUGGUUUAAUUCGAAGCAACGCGAAGAACCGUACCAGGUCUUGACAUCCCGAUGCUAUUUCUAGAGAUAGAAAGUUACUUCGGUACAUCGGUGACAGGUGGUGCAUGGUUGUCGUCAGCUCGUGUCGUGAGAUGUUGGGUUAAGUCCCGCAACGAGCGCAACCCCUAUUGUUAGUUGCCAUCAUUCAGUUGGGCACUCUAGCGAGACUGCCGGUAAUAAACCGGAGGAAGGUGGGGAUGACGUCAAAUCAUCAUGCCCCUUAUGACCUGGGCUACACACGUGCUACAAUGGUUGGUACAACGAGUUGCGAGUCGGUGACGGCGAGCUAAUCUCUUAAAGCCAAUCUCAGUUCGGAUUGUAGGCUGCAACUCGCCUACAUGAAGUCGGAAUCGCUAGUAAUCGCGGAUCAGCACGCCGCGGUGAAUACGUUCCCGGGCCUUGUACACACCGCCCGUCACACCACGAGAGUUCGUAACACCCGAAGUCGGUGAGGUAACCUUUUGGAGCCAGCCGCCUAAGGUGGGACAGAUGAUUGGGGUGAAGUCGUAACAAGGUA
RNAcentral lists this ribosomal RNA (1505 nucleotides) under metagenome. RNAcentral's name for it is "bacterial SSU rRNA". It matches the Rfam family "Bacterial small subunit ribosomal RNA". The record is from RNAcentral.